Long non-coding RNA from Rattus norvegicus (Norway rat), 10810 nucleotides. RefSeq lists it as uncharacterized. The record is from RefSeq and is a predicted model, not a curated record. Lineage: Eukaryota; Metazoa; Chordata; Mammalia; Rodentia; Muridae.
GAGACAGGAGGGGAGGAGACAGGAGGUGAGCACAGGAGGCUGGAUGGGAGUGGCUGCAAUGGAGAGACCUGACAGGGAACAAGAAGAGCCACUGCUCCUCAGAGACCCAGAGAGAUGUGGUGGCUUGCUUGGGGACACACAGCCCAGGAAGGGGAGGCAGCAUCAGAGGGAUGAGGGCCUGUUUCCUGACUCGAGGCCAGGGAUGAGCGGCUACAACAGGGGGAAAAAGGCAUGGAAAGAGCUUCUUGGUGGUGAGACGGGACCCAGAGGCUCCCUUGCUUGCUUGCCUUCAUUCUGUACUCUACCCACGGGGGCACAGAGCAGGAGCAACUGGCAUAAUGUGUGGGGGUGUGUGCACAUGUGUGUCUGUGUUAAUGGAGGCCAGAGGUUGAAAUCAGACGUUUUCCUCAGCGUCUCGCUGCUUUAUUUUUAAAAAGUGGGCUAGAGAGAUGGCACGGUUGGUUAAGAACACAUGUCCACACAUAGAAGUAAAAUGAGGGCAGGAGAGUUGGCUCAGUGCUCAGAGCACUGUCGCUCUGGCCGAAGAUUGAUUCCCAGCAACCAUGUGGCACUCACAGCCGUUUGUAACUCCAGUUCUAGGGGAUCUGACACUCUCUUCUGACCUCCACAGGCACCGGGCUUCGGUGGCGCACAGACAGACAGACAGACAGGGAAAACACCAUACGCAUUUUAAAAAUGCUACUUUUCUUUUUCUUUUUCUUUUUUUUUUUUUAAGGAAAAGUAAGAUAAAUCUUUGUUUGCUUGUUUAUUGCAUGAGUGUGAAGGUCAGAGGCCAGCUUGUGGGAACCAGUUCUCUCCAUGUGGGUCCCGAGGCUCAGACUCUGGUCAUCGGGGUUGGUGACAAGUGACUUUACCUGCCAAGUCAUCUUGCUGGCUCUUCGCAUUAAAUCUUUUUAAAAAACGGUUUUUAUUUUUAGCUCUGUGUGUAGGGGCUAUGUGCACAUAGAUGAAGAUGUCAAAGGAAGCCAGAAGAGUGUGUUAGACCCCCUGGAACUCGAGUUACAGCUAGCAACGAGGCACCCAGUGUGGGUUCUGGGAGCCAAACUCGGGCCUUCUACCAGAGCAGUAUAUAUUCUUAACCCUGAGCCGUCUCUCCAGCCCGUCUUCACAUAUUUUGAGCCAAGGUCUCUCACUGAAUCUGGAGCCCACUAAUUGGCUGACCACAGGGCUCCUCCUGUCUCUGUGUCCCCACUCUGGAUAACAGGCACUUGGUUAUUCCUAACUCGGAUGCUUGCUUGCACAGCAAGCACUUAGGUGACUGAAGCAUCCCCCCUCAGCCAGAAUCUACCAUUUCUGAUGCUGUCUGUGCUGUUGGGGUGGGCUGUGUGUCUCCCCCUUACCCAGCCUCCCACCCGUGGAGUCAUUAGCACUAAUGAUAGGAUUGGGGGCUGUGUUAUCACACACUCAGCCCUGCUGGGGCUCAGGGCCCAGGAGGUGGGAAGGGGCUGGCAGGUAGCCCAGGGAGGGAGCUGAGGUGGGAAGGGGGGGGCAGAGGAGGCAGGGCGGGAAGGAAGAAGGAAGGCCUUGGGGUCUGUUCAAGAGAAGCUUCUCAGCCCUCAGAACAAAACCUACCCCUGUGUCCCUUGUAGUGGCCACUGGGCACACAGUAAAGCAUGCUCAAUGAGGAAAGGGACCUCAUGCAGACUGGGAAAUCAGGAGGCAGAGAGGCGACUAAUGCCUAGGAACCAAGGCCCGUAUGCUUAGUCCUGUAUAUCACUGUCACUUUAGGUCUCCUUCCACUUCUGUCCCCAAGGCUCAUGUUUCUGCCAGUUGAGGUUAGAUAUCCCUUCAUUGUCAAGGGUACCCUUAGGUGCUUCAUCUGUCCCAAGAGCAGCCCUCUCAGUCCAUAGCCCAAGCCCCGCUGGCCUUCACACUUGUCCCUCGGACCCACCAGAUGCUGUGGUGGACUCUGUCUUUGAGCUCAAGGACUCUUGGUGUCUCCCAGGGUCCCAGAGAUGCAACCAGAAAACUGCCUGUUUUCAGGGGACAAACACCUCUGUGGCAGCCUCUGUUCUUUAAGUAUCAAGACCUAAGGGUCUCACUGUGUAGCUCAGGUUGGCUACGUAGCCACUGAGCUCCUCCUGACUCAGCCUCCUGAGCACUGAGAUUAAAGGCGUGUACCACCCUAGGAGUUGCGCAAUCUUUGAAUGAGUGCUGUGUGAUACUUCAUUUGUGUAAUUCUAGCCCUCUAGAGGUUGUGGCAGGAGGAUUGUUGUGAGUUCAAGGCCAGCCUAAGAUCCUAAGAUACAGUGUGUAUCCCUGUUCUUGACCUCCUCCAUCCUCUACUUAAAGGCGGGGGUGGGGAGGAGGUGGUGGUGGCAGGGGGAGACAAGAAUGUCAAGAUCUAGACUGGGAUUGGGACUGUGGCUCAGAGGCAGAGUGCUCACGGAGUCUGCACAUGGCCUAGGGCUCCUUCCCCAGCACUGAGACAAACACACAGAAAUCUCAAGAGCCAUGUUCAUACCUGUAAAUCCAGCCCUUAGAGAAGGAGGCAAGAGGACUGUGGGAAGUAAGUUCAAAGCCAGCCUGGCCUAUCUUGGGAUACUGUUUGAAAGCAGACAGGCAACUCAGCAGUGGAUCUGAAGGCAAUGAAUUGGAAUGUUCUGGACUGGGGGUGGGGGGAGCACCAGGUUGGUGGUGGGAGUGGAGUCUGAAGAACAGAAUGGUUGACUCCUGUGCCCUUGGAGGUAUCCCAUACCAGCUAUCUAAAGGGGCAGGGUCUCUGCUGAACUCAUCCUGUAAUAAGCAGAUGGCCCCUUGUGUGAGUUCAGCAUGGAGAGGAGACUGGAUGUGGGAGUGGGCAGGGCCCAGGCACCUCCCAGGAAUCUCUAGGCCUUCUGGAGAAAUAGGCCAGAUUUGGCCCGGCCAAUGCAGUGUCCCCAAACUGGGGCAGGAUCAAGGAAUCUGGGCCGAGGACCUGGUUGGUCCCUGGGGGUAACACCACGUGUUCUGGCAUCUUCCCUCCAACUGUCCCUGGGGGAAGAGUUGGGCAGGCCAGAGGUCCACCACUGCCAGUCUGCCCUGAGCCUCACAGGAGUCUGGGUAAAGAGGGACGAGCAGAGCUGGGGUGAGUACCCUGCCUCCUCAGUCCUAGGGUUCAGCUGCUUCCUUGUGUCUUAGAGCACACACCACACGCUCAGAAGAGGUAGCUGAGAGGGAGCCACGUCUCUAGGAGCUUUAUCUUACCUGGUUGGCCUCCCCAGUCCUCAGCUUCCAUUCACAGCUACUCUACCUCGUCCAGGAAGCCUCCUGAUACCACGUCAGCAAGAAAAUGUGGUCCUAACUCAUGCUAGAACAUCCACUGCUGGGCCCUUCUGCUCACAGGUUGCCCUGGAGGCAGGAUUCAGUCAACCUUCAUGGCUUCCUCCUGCUUCUGCCCAACACCUCAGACAGGCCUAGGAGAGAGGCCUAGAGCGUGGUAGCGAUGGCAGAGUCUGUUCUCACUGAACAGAAUGUGGGUUGACCGGCAUGGAGAAACUGAGGAAUGAGCUCCUACAUCUGACGUCCAUGCUAACCAGCUUCCCCUCCCCUCCUGCAGUCUCAGCAAGCCCUGUGUACCACUUCCCUACCUUUGACACAGGGCUCUGCGCUGCCACACCCUCUCCCUAAUUUCCCCUGAGCUCAGAAUUCUUGGUGAGGGCAGUCAUGGAAGGGCAGAUGGUGCUCUUACCUGUCAUCCCCUUCCCUGCAUCCUUCCCUGACUGAGACUGCAUGGUGUCUCGUGCAUGGGUGUCUGUGACUUCUCAAUCACAAUGCUCACUACUCGGUCUGAAGGCCUGGGAUAGGGAGAGUUCCCUGACGGAACUUGAGUCUAAGAGUGGCUGGCAGAGGGGUCCCAGGCCAUGGCACCAGUGCAGAAGCUGAGGCCAGCAUAGCAUUCAGUAUAGAGACGUACUUCAACUUCAUAAGAGAUCAGAUAAAUUGGUGUCAGCACUGGGUGUGUGCGACUGCCGGCUGGUGUGUGAGGUUGCACUGAGUCGGGUUUAGGGCCUCUGUGGCUCCAUGAUCCAGGAACUGUGGGCUCCUGCCUUAGAGGGUCAAAUAUUUUCCUAGGGGAGCCUCUAUCUUCACACAAACACCUGCAAAUCUUCCAGAGGCUAAAGACGAGUCAGUGAUGGGUGGAGGGUAUGCAUGUGUGUGUGUGUGUGUGUACAUGUGUGUACAUGUGUGUACAUGUCUGUAUAUGUGUAAACGUGUGUGCAUGUCUGCAUGUAUACAUGUCUGUAUGUGUGAACGUGUGUGCAUGUGUGUGCAUGUGUGUGUACAUGUCUGCAUGUGUGAACGUGUGUGCAUGUGUGUGCAUGUGUGUGUACAUGUCUGCAUGUGUGAACAUGUGUGCAUGUGUGCAUGUGUGCAUGUGCGGGUGUGAACCAGUUCUACAGUUUUGAGAAAUACCUUCCCAGAUUCCUGAGUGCAUAAUCAUGGAAGCUCAUGGUGCCAGACUUGGGCUAGGCUCAGCAGUUGCUCAUUCUGUCAGGGCAGCCAGGGCAGUGAUGUUUAAUGCACAUGUGCUUUUGCUGCAAAAAGUGCAGGUUACUGUAGCCAUGGUUUGCAUGUGAUUGUCAACCAGUCAGCCAUAGGUAGCCUAUGAAUGUUCCUAAGAGGGUAACAAUACUGGAUCUUGAAUCCUUGCUGUGUCGAACCUAGGAAGGACCUUUGGAAUGAUGGGCCUAGAGACAAUGAGGAUUGGCCUGGGAGCAAGACUGAGUGGAGACCAGAGGCAGAGUCAGCUAGUGGGUGAAGAUAGCUUUUCUAUAGCCCUUUGUCGGGACUGUUGGGGGGAGGCUCUGGCACAGGGUGUUGUGCUGAGAAAGAGCUAUGUGUAAGCACAUGUGUGUGCAUACCUGUGUUUACAUAUGUAUGUGCAUGUAUGUGGUUGUGUAUGGUAUAUGGUAUAGAUAUACACGUGUGUGUGCACAUGUAUGUGUAUAGGUGUAUGUUGUGGUUGUGCAUGGGUGUACAUGGAUGUGUGCAUGUACAUAUGUGUGAGCAUGUAUGCCACAUGUGUGCCAUUGUGUGAAUAAACAGGUAUACAUGUGAGUGUGCCUAUCGUGUGCAUGUGUGGUUGAGUGCAUGAGUGUACGUACACGUAUGUAAAUACGUAUAGUCCUAUGUGGUUGUGCGAGAACAUUGUAUACAUGCAUAUGGGUGUGUGGUGUGUACAUUUGUAGCUGCGUGAGUGUACAGUGUGCUUGGGUGCAUCACACAGCUGCCAUUGUCUUACCUACCUGUUUUGCUGUCAUAGCAAGAGCUGCCUGUUGCCCAUCACCAGGGCUGGGGGCAGAGGAUCCUUUAUUCCCCAAACCUUCCAUGGUGAUUAAGUCUCCAAACUUUUCCUUAACCAUCGUAUCUUCAAAAUGAAAAACCAAAUUGCAUCUCCGAGAGCUUGGAAAUCGAUUUCUUUCAAAAUGAACUUUGGGUGAAGCGAUUCCAAAGAGAAAUGAGAGGAGGAAGGUAGGAGGGGGAUGGGGAAGGGACAGAGGGCCUGGUUGGGGGCCAGCAGGGCAGGGCAGGUACUGGUCUUUCCUGGGAGGUGGGGGAGGCAUCAGGAGUUCUCUGGAAGAGGCACAGUAACUGUGUAACCACAGUGGGGGCAGAGAUGGAGGAUGCUGGGAGACAAGGGCUAUUAGAAGUGGGCUCUCAGGAGGACUUCCCAGCAUCCUGAGUGUCUUUCUCUCCUUCCCGUGUGCUUUGAACAUCUCCACGGUCCUGAAUAGUGCUUGUAUCUGAGGGGUAGGGGGAACAUGGGGCCUGUGCAGGGGCUUGGCUUGAUAACUGCUGUACUGAUGUAGGAGUUGAAUACUCUCAGUCCAGUCAGGUGGGAGGUCCAUGCUGCUGGCCCCUCCCUCACUGCUCAACUGGGCUGCUGCUGCUACUGCCUCUGCCAAUGGCCAAUGCCGGACAGCCCUAGAAAUAGGUCGGAGAGGAAAAGGCUAGGGCAGGUUGGAGAGGACUUGGAGGCUAGGUCAGCUGGGAGGGGAGGAAGAGAAGGGACCUGCUGCUGGAGAGGGUGACCCUAGGAGACUGUGGCUGGCAGCUUUUGAGCCAGGGGAGCAAUUGUGGAGGCCUCUCCUCUCCUGCUCCCUGUCUGGCUCAGCUCUGGCUGGCAGCCGUGGGUGUUGAAUAUUGCUCAGCUGAGCGUCGAGCACUUGGGAGGGAGCAAGACAGCUAGAUGGGUGCGCAGUGCAGUGGCGGUGGCAGGGGUGGCAGCAGGAGGUGGCAGGGGAAGUUGGCCAAGGUGGGGGCGGAUGAGGAGGCUUCGGAAAUAGGGCCUUAGGGCCCAGCUGAAAGAUGCAAAACAGUGGUUGGAGGUGGCCUGGGGUAGGGAUGGGAGCCUGCCUUUUCUCUCACAGAACACCAGGAAAUGAGGAAGCAGACUGCUCAUCCAUUGGGGGAAACUGAGGCUCAGGAGAGCAGGCUGUCCAGUAGCUAGCAAGUCAGAGAUGGGAUUCUGGAGCCCAGUAUUGGGAGAGGGCAGUAGAAGGUGUGACAGACCCUUAGGGCUGGGGACUCUCCCAUCCUCUCCACCCCCAGAGAAUCCUUGGACAGGAAGGGAGGACACCUGAGGGACAGGGGAGCAAGCUUAGUCUCUACUGCUCAGUGGCCUCAAGUCCCUGCUCUCAGUGGCCCCAAUCACUUCUCUGUGAAAUGGGAAUCAUCUUGGGCUCUUUGUCAAUGCUUUAAGCUUUUGUGAUGAACCCUGAGAUUCCAGCAUUCAUAGGAAAUGGAACCUAUUACCCCUAGAAACUGCCUCUUCACUGUUUCAGUCUCCACCCUGCAUGAGAACCCCAAGUCUUUCUGGAAUGUGCUGGCACAGGGUAGCUGAGUACUGUGCCUCCCUCCUUCCUUCCCACCUCCCUGUCUUUGUCUGCCCCCGACUGCCUCCCCCCCAACCUCCCGCCAUCUCCACACUUCCCCCUCCCCCACCCCUGGCUCCCAGAUCCCUGGAGGGCUGCUCUGAUGAGAGGUUCACUUUCCUUUCCUCAUGCGGGUGACAGACCCUGCUGCCAAUAAUCUCCUGUGACAAAUCAACACUGAAGUCCAGUGGCUCCCUGGCCCUGGAGGAAUCCAAGUAGAUCAAAGUGGAAAAAAACCCAGGGGCUCUGGGACUGGGGCCUGGAGGGACUGCUAUAGUCAGCAGACACAUCAGGGGCUCACCCUCCUUAUCACCCUCUCUCUACCUGGAAAGCACCUCCUUCCUCAUCCUCCAGGUGCUUUGAGGGUAUAGGAUGACAGGCCUGGCUGCAGUGCCAGGAAGAGGGGGUCCAUCCUGAAGGGCACCCCAAAAUGCCUGGAGAGAAGGGAUCCUCUGCUGGACCUCAGGGAGCCAUGGGAGGCUUGUGAGCUCAGGAUGGUUGUCUCUGCCUCCUUAGCAUGCAGCUCUCAGGGUGGACCUGGCCAGCCUCUGGGCACUCAAGCCCUCACCCUAUCACGGGUGAGGGGUGUGAAGAGUGCUGGAGGUGAGACCUCUGGAUAGGCUACCUCACAGGUUGAGCCUGGGCCUGGCAUAAGCUGAGGCCAAGGGUUGGGGGUUGGGCAGAUUUUUUCAGAUUUUUGUGCCUCUUCCUUAUUCUGAGGGAGGGGCUCUGUCUGCACGAACACAUUUUUUCAGAUGAGGAAAGCCAGCGUUGAGAGUAGUAGAGUUACUGAAGGCCGUCAAAGAAAUCUUCUCCCCUGCAUCAGCACUCGGCACCAUGAGGAGCUCAGCUCAGCAAAGGGAGAGGAAUGGUUGCUUGAGGUUUUCCUGGUGAAACAGCUCCGAAUCCUUUCCAGAUUGGGUUAUCCUUAGCAAAACUAUCAGAAUUAUCCACGUUGGAGAUACAGAGUGAGACAUUGGCUUGACCAUGGACAGAGCUGGAGUCGGUGGCAAAUCUCUGGGUCCCGUGGUCGCAGGCUAUGAGCAUGGAAGACAUACUCACACUCACUGCGCUGAAGUCUCCCUGGGUCCAUCGUUGCGUGGCACUACCCAGGAUGGGCAGGGAUAGAAGCCCAGUACCAUGACAACCUGUCAUUGUCCUGAAGAGCAGUACAAAUGGACGUCAGUGGGGCAGGAUGGGCCAAAUGUCCUUAGGCUCUUAGGGAUCUCUAAGCUCAAACUGAGCAGAGCGAGCAUCUGUAGAGGACCCAGACCUUCAAGGCCUCAACUUCCAGCCUCUCUCCACAGUCACAUGAUCCCUAGUGCCCUGCUUCCACCAAUGACGCUGCCCUGCAAGGCUGGGGGGUCCUCUCCCUGACAUCCUCUCCUCUCUGGCUCUCUUUGUGUGUCUUUCUCUGUGUUUCUGUCUGUCCCUUUCUCCCUCUCCCGAUGGAUGACAGUUCUAAGUCCCCUCCGUGCCUUUUCAGCCUAGUGACCCUUGCCAUACCUCAGUUAGGUUCACACCUAUGGCUCUGGCCCUCUGGGUCUUGUGUGCUUGUUGAGAGCCAUUUGACCACAUGGUCUCCUUGAGGUCAGCCUCCCAAGGGAGGGAAGGAGCUGUGUUGGUUGACCACAAGAGAGAGGGGGUAAGGGGACGGAGAGAAGGGGCAAGGGCUCCAACACCUCUCUGGAAUCACACUGGGUCCAGGCUUGUACCCAAACAUUAGAAAGGAAGACCAAGGUUGAGAGAUCUUUGUACCCCAGCCAGCCCUCAAGCCUUGCCCAUUCUUCCCUAAUGUGACAAGUGACCAGCUAACCCCAAGCAAUAAAUGGAGUAAAAAAGUGCCUUUUAGACAUGUAAAACGGGCUGAAUUAGGGUCUCCACCACACAAGGCUGUAUAUGACCAGAACUCAGUGACGUCACUCAGGAUAACCAGACACCGUCUUAGAGCCCCAUGACACCCGUUGGACAGUAUUUAGGCAGAGACCAAGAACAAUGCUCUGCUCUGCACAUCGGGAGAGACGACACCUUCCUCGAUCUGCCCUUGGGCCAGAGAGUCUACCCCAGGAUCCUGGCCCUUCAUCAGAGACUUCUGUUAGAGACUGGAGGUGACCUUCGGCUAAGAUAUGUCACAGGAACGUGUGUCUGUCCACUCACAAGCAGAUCCUGCCGUAGGUAGUGACAGCUCUGUAGAUCUGUUCCUUCAGUGGGCACUGACUGAAGACCAAGCCUGGCUGUGCCCAGGAGCAGCACCAGACAGGAAUGCCAAGCCGCAAGGGAGAUCAACUCACCCAGCUGUCCUUUCUGGGAAUCCACACAGCCCAGGGUGCUGAGCGAGUACCAGGAGAUGGAAGCCACUGGAUGAAGCUGUGGGACGUAACAGGACACAGGAUCAGGAGAGUCAGGAGACAGGGGGAGCCUGGCUGAGACCCUGGGAAAGGACUGCCUGUAGUCUAAGACCUUGGGACCUCAUGGAGCAGUUGGUGGGAGCUGCUGUAGACUCAGAGCCUCAUCUGGGGCAAACACAUGAGAGUCCCAGCUUCCUUCAGGAUCCUGGUCCAGGGCCUCCUGCUUGUCCAUCACACUAACCCCACAGGAAACCGUCAACAUGAAGCUGGGAGAAAGUCUCAAGCUGCCAAGGACAGCCCAAGGGCUGUUCUCUGCUGUGUGCUACCCACCGCUCCGAGUAUGGCCUUGCCCCUGGAUGGCCCUUUCAGCCUGAGGUGUGACUGCCUUCUCUCCAGGGCUCUCUCUGGCCUCCAGGUCCCAACUGGGAGCCUAACUGGGGUUGCAGAUUACAUAGUCUCUUCCAAAGGUUUGUCACUUAGCCCCAGCCGGGACAGGAGAGUAGGCAUGGUUGAGGCUGGGCCUUCAGGAGCCAUCUAAGCCCCAGAAGCAGAGAAAGCAGCAGGCUCUAAGAGCUGUUGUGGGUACAGAAUCUUGUAACUGGAAUUGUGCACAGUAUGAGGGUGUGUCCACCAGGGAAGGUGCCAGGCCUGAGAAUCACCCUAAGCCCAUGACUUGAAAUUUUAGGCUUUGAGGGAUUUUUAUGUGCGUGUAUAUGUGAGUGAGGCCAUCUGUGGAGGUUAGAAAUGUUUCCUGAAGCUGGAGUUACAGGCAGAUGUGAGCCUCCUGGCAUGGGUGCCGGGACUUGAACUCAGGUGCCUCUGGAAGAGCAGUAUUUACUCUCUAGCCUCUGAGGGAUGUUUUUUGAGAUUCAGAGGCCAGACCCAUGAGCACUGGAGAAAUUGCAACAGUCCACUCACAAUCUUUAUCAGAGACAGAGACCUGGCUCUCAGGUCCCAGCCAGCCAUGCCUCUUGGGAAGACUUUCUAGGGUCCAUGAUUCACCCCCAUGCUCACCUUGGAAUUUCCCAUUCAGAUCUCUGAGAUGCUUAAGGUCGAGAUUUAUCCGCCCCACCCUGCUCGGUCACCCUCAGGCUGGUGGCAGGCGGACACUGGGUACUGAUGAUAGUUCAGACGAGCAGCAAGGGAGAACAGUGGGGAGAGGCCACUAGGACGAGAGAGGGAGAAACCUACGCCUAUCCAAGGGUCCCUUGAUAUCCUGUGACAUUGGGACUGAUUGUGAGUACACUAGGAGCCUGUUGAAUAAGGGACAGGGUUCUGAGGUCCUCUGAGGACUGUCUCUGCAGAACCCUGAAGCUAGACUGGGAAUCCCCUCCCAAGCCCUGGGGCUGGUGUCCCUGCCCCUGGCUCAAUCCUCCUCUGUUCCCUACCAUGGAUCCUGUUGCCCUCCAAGGAAGCAGCAGAUGCUGCACCCCAGGGUGGGACACGGAGUAGGGUGGGGGAUGUGGUGAGGGGUGGGAGGCAGUGUGGCGAGGGAAGGGGCGUGCGAAUUGUCUCUGUCUCUUCCACAGAAUGCUUCCUUCUCCUCCUGCUACUGGUGUUAUUUUUAAAGUUUCACUUUGUAAA